UCUCCUGAAGCUCAAUGGUAGAGCGUCCGACUAGGUGCGGAAGGUCAUAGGUUUGACUCCUGUUUAAAGAA
Desmophyllum pertusum is the source of this 71-nucleotide non-coding RNA. Lineage: Eukaryota; Metazoa; Cnidaria; Anthozoa; Scleractinia; Caryophylliidae. The record is from the annotation of a GenBank genome assembly.